CCCUACUGCUAUCGGGGUGGGACUAAGACAUGCUAGUCGAGCGCCUUGAGCUAUGGCGAGGCGCGGCGUACAGCUCAGCAACACGUGGCUAACCUACCCUUAGGACGGAGACAACCCCGGGAAACUGGGGCUAAUAUCUGAUAGGUGAGGAGGCCUGGAAUGGUUCUUCGCUGAAAAGGCGUUGAAACCAUGCUUUUCAGCGUCGCCUAAGGAUGGGGCCGCGCCCGAUCAGGUUGUUGGUGGGGUAACGGCUCACCAAGCCUAUAACCGGUACGGGCCGUGAGAGCGGGAGCCCGGAGAUGGGCACUGAGACAAGGGCCCAGGCCCUACGGGGCGCAGCAGUCGCGAAAACUCCGCAAUGCGCGAAAGCGUGACGGGGCUACCCCGAGUGCCGUCCGCUGAGGAUGGCUUUUCCCCGGUGUAAUGAGCCGGGGGAAUAAGGAGAGGGCAAGUCUGGUGUCAGCCGCCGCGGUAAUACCAGCUCUCCGAGUGGUAGGGACGAUUAUUGGGCUUAAAGCGUCCGUAGCCGGCUUAGCAAGUCUCCUGUUAAAUUCAGCGACCUAAUCGUUGAGCCGCGGGAGAUACUACUAGGCUAGGAGGCGGGAGAGGCCGACGGUAUUCUCGGGGUAGGGGUGAAAUCCUAUAAUCCCGGGAGGACCACCAGUGGCGAAGGCUGUCGGCUAGAACGCGCUCGACGGUGAGGGACGAAAGCUGGGGGAGCGAACCGGAUUAGAUACCCGGGUAGUCCCAGCUGUAAACGAUGCGGGCUAGGUGUUGGGGUGGCUACGAGCCACUUCAGUGCCGCAGGGAAGCCAUUAAGCCCGCCGCCUGGGGAGUACGGCCGCAAGGCUGAAACUUAAAGGAAUUGGCGGGGGAGCACCACAAGGCGUGAAGCUUGCGGUUC
Molecule: ribosomal RNA, 904 nt
Filed under: uncultured archaeon
Lineage: Archaea
Description: bacterial SSU rRNA
Rfam family: Archaeal small subunit ribosomal RNA
Source: RNAcentral